RNAcentral lists this long non-coding RNA (1714 nucleotides) under Homo sapiens (human). RNAcentral describes it as "HSALNT0194470". The record is from RNAcentral. Lineage: Eukaryota; Metazoa; Chordata; Mammalia; Primates; Hominidae.
UGUCACCCUGUGAAGAAGGUGCCUGCUUCUCCUUUGCCUUCCACCAUCAUUGUAAGCUUCCUGAGGCCUUCGCAGCAAUGUAGAACUGUGAGUCAAAACUCUUUUCUUUAUAAAUUACCCAGUCUCAGGUAUUUCUUCAUAAUUGUGUGAAAAUGGGCUAAUACAGUAAAUUGUUACCGAGGUAGUCAGGCACUGCUAUAAGAAUACACACAAAUGUGGAAGCAACUUUGGAACUGGGUAACAGGCAGAGGAUGGAACAGUUUAGAGGGUUCAGAGGAAGACAGGAAAACGUGAGAAAGUUUGGAACUUUCUAGAGACUUGGAGGGCUCAGAAGACAGGAAGAUGUGGGAAAGUCUUGAACUUCCUAGAGACUGUUAAAUGUCUUUGACCAAAAUGCUGAUAGUGAUAUGGACAGUGAAGUCCAGGCUGAGUUAUUCUCAGAUAGAGAUGAGGAACUUGUUGGGAAUUGGAGUAAAAGUCACUCUUGCUAUGCUUUAGCAAAGAGACUGGCAACAUUUUGCCCCUCCCCUAGAGACCUGUGGGACUUUGAACUUGAGAGAGAUGAUUUAAAGUACCUGGCAGAAGAAAUUUCUUAGCAGCAAAGCAUUCAAGAGGCAGCAGAGCAUAAAAGUUUGGAAAAUUUGCAGCCUAACAAUGCAAUAGGAAAGAAAAACCCAUUUUCUAAGGAGAAAUUCAAGCCGGCCCUGAGAAGAGGGUUACCAUCCUCCAGACCCCAGAAUGGUAGAUCCACCGACAGCUUGCACCAUGCACCUGGAAAAGCCUCAGACACUCACUGCCAGCCCGCGAAAGCAGCCAGGAGGGGGGCUAUACCCUGCAAAGCUACAGAGGUAAAGCUGCUCAAGGCCAUGGGAGCCCAGCUCUUGUAUCACUGUGACCUGGUUGUGAGACAUGGAGUCAAAGGAGAUCAUUUUGGAACUUUAAGGUUUAAUGACUGCCCUAUUGGAUUUCAGACAUGCAUGGGGACUGUAGCCCCUUUGUUUUGGCCAUUUCUCCCAUUCGGAAUGAGCGCAUUUACCCAGUGCCUGUACCUCCAUUGUAUCUAGGAAGUAACUAACUUGCUUUUGAUUUUACAGACUCAUAGGUGGAAGGGACUUACCUUGUCCCAGAUAAGACUUUGGACUUUGACUUUUGGGUUAAUACUGGAAUGAGCUAAGAUUUUGGGGGACUGUUGGAAAGGCAUGAUUGUGUUUUAAAAUGUGAGGACAUGAGAUUUUGGAGGGGCCAUGUGUGGGAUGAUAUGGUUUGGCUGUGUCACCACCCAAAAUCUCAUCUUGAAUUGUAAUCCUCGUAAUCCCCAUGUAUCAAGGGAGGGUCCAGAUGGAGGUAAUUGGAUCAUGAGGGCGGUUCCCCCCAUGCUGUUCUCAUGAUAGUGAGUGCGUCUUGUGCACUUUGCAUACCAUAAAUGUUAAAAAUGAAGGACAGCCAUGACGUUCUUCAACUCCACCCUACUGAGCUGCCUUGAGGCAAAAACUCUUGGUUCCUCCCAUCAGCGCUCAUAUUGUGGGUAGUCAAGCAGAGUGGCUGGAAGUCUCACUACUCAGUGUGGUCCGUGGUUCUGCAGCGUCACCCAGGACCUGUAAGAAGUGCAGAGGCUCGGCCCCACCCCGGACCUACUGAACCAGAGUCUGCGUUCUAACAGAACCCCUUGGCGAUUUGUGCGAAGCGCUGGUUUAAAGUAGACUGGAUUCACACU